This 412-nucleotide ribosomal RNA is filed under the name uncultured bacterium. Its description in RNAcentral is "bacterial SSU rRNA". It matches the Rfam family "Bacterial small subunit ribosomal RNA", at positions 30 to 443 of the family's 1533-position model. The record is from RNAcentral.
AUUGAACGCUGGCGGCAUGCUUUACACAUGCAAGUCGAACGGGGUGAGGAGCUUGCUCCUCAUCUAGUGGCGAACGGGUGAGUAAUACAUCGGAACGUACCGUGUAGUGGGGGAUAACGUAGCGAAAGUUACGCUAAUACCGCAUACGAUCCACGGAUGAAAGCAGGGGACCUUCGGGCCUUGUGCUAUACGAGCGGCCGAUGUCUGAUUAGCUAGUUGGUGGGGUAAAGGCCCACCAAGGCAACGAUCAGUAGCGGGUCUGAGAGGAUGAUCCGCCACACUGGGACUGAGACACGGCCCAGACUCCUACGGGAGGCAGCAGUGGGGAAUUUUGGACAAUGGGCGCAAGCCUGAUCCAGCCAUGCCGCGUGUCUGAAGAAGGCCCUUCGGUUGGUUAAAGGUAACGUUUACG